This 246-nucleotide long non-coding RNA is filed under the name Elaeis guineensis (African oil palm). RNAcentral's name for it is "long non-coding RNA (EGUI_LNC003831)". The record is from RNAcentral. Lineage: Eukaryota; Viridiplantae; Streptophyta; Magnoliopsida; Arecales; Arecaceae.
CCCCAAUUUUAGAAAUUUAUACAUAGCUAUCUAAGAGGCUUUGAAAAUCUUUGUAUCUUUUUCUUAAAAUAUACAUAUUCGUAGGUGCAAAAAAUGAUAAAACUCUUAUUUUAUAAAUAUAUAUGAUUUUCAAAAAAUAUAUUUAUGAAAUUACUUGUUAUAAUAAAAUAUAUUUUUUCAUUUCAUAUAUGCUGAUCUUUUAUUUUAUGAAAAAAUAUGACUUCAUCAAUAGCAGAUCGUAUGCAU